RNAcentral lists this long non-coding RNA (1358 nucleotides) under Carica papaya (papaya). RNAcentral's name for it is "long non-coding RNA (CPAP_LNC011647)". The record is from RNAcentral. Lineage: Eukaryota; Viridiplantae; Streptophyta; Magnoliopsida; Brassicales; Caricaceae.
CUUUCUCGCCACAGACAAAAGCAGUUGCCAGUUUCCAAGCCAACCCUCUUAAUAAAUAAGCGUACUGCUGCUACUCAACAGCUCAUCUUCAAGUACUUUCACAUAUAUAUAUGUAUAUAUCUCUCUCUCUCUCUCUCUCAUGAUGGGUGUAUAUGUGAUAUGAUGGUAAUCCGCGUAGAAGUAAAAUAUUUUCCUAUAUAAAUACAGAGUAGAAGCCCCCGUCAUCGGAUCUGAAGCUGAAGCAGCUUCCUAGUGACCUAGAAAAACUGGUUUUCUCUCUUUUCGAUUUCAGUAUAUAAUUUAAGUUUUUGAGGCAUACCCACUUCCAAUAAGUGUACAAGCAAUAAUGGGUCGGUCAUGUUUUCUCAACCUUCUUCUUCUUUCGGUGCUUCUGCUUCUCGCCUUCUCCCAUGGUAACUGUUCUUGCUUUCCCCUUAUUUUUCUUUUCUCAAAAUUUAUUUAAAAUCUUCUUCUCUGUUCUCAGAUUUAGUUUUGUUUUUGUCACUUUUAAGGAUUUGGAAGGAAAGCGAUGGCGACAGCUGAAAAUGGAGAGUCCACCAGUUACCAAGUUGAGGUUAUUUAAUUUGGUUUCGUGGGUUUUAUUUGUCUUGUAUUAAAGUGAUUUUCUGAGGGUAUAUAAAAAUAGGAUUGAUGGGUGUUUGGUUUGCAGGAAAGCGGAGGAAAAUCCAGAGAGAUGAUUGAAGUGAUGGAUUAUCAAGAUCCAGGUCCAAACACCAACCCCAAAACUGGUUUCCUUCUAAGCCCUCCACCACCAGCACAAGGUUAAUUCUAAUUAUCUUUCCUAUUGCAGCCUGUAGUUAAUUAAUUUUAUUGUUAUGAUGAGAAAACAGAGAGUGUUCUGUUAAUUAUUCCCCCCCCAAAUGUAAUAUUUGAUAGAAAUGUUAAUAUAUAUAUAUAUAUAUGUAUGUUUGUCUGUGUGAAAUGUAUAUGAUCUGACUUAAAAGCUUCCCCUCUUUUUGGCUGUAAAUUUCUACUCCUCUCUAUAAGGUGCAGAUUUGAAUUGGGGAAUAUUUAUUUGCAUGUUUUCAUUAGAAAAGCAUAUUAUAAUUGUGUAAUUCCAAAAAUAAUCAGUUGAAUUGUCUUAAAAACUUCCAAUUGUUAACAAAAGAAGAAAUUGAAGGUAAUAUAAAUUUUGAUUCAACACCAUAUAUCUUCAGACGAACCAAGAACAUAAUUAAGUUUUUUCAACUAAAAAAAAAAAAAACCCUUUUAAUUUGGUUGGCAGAGUAUAUAUGUUGUGAUUUGUUAAUUGUUUGAAGAAUCUGUUACAUAAUUAGAAUUGGGGGAUUGAGGGAGACGAGAUCUCAUCUGCUUCAUCAAAUGAUAAUCAGCUCGAU